Molecule: non-coding RNA, 74 nt
Organism: Habropoda laboriosa
Lineage: Eukaryota; Metazoa; Arthropoda; Insecta; Hymenoptera; Apidae
Source: Rfam
GGAGUGGUUGGCGUAGCGCGCAAAGCCUCGGCUUGCUAAGCCGAAGGUCUCGGGUUCGAUUCCCGUUGGGUCCC